AGUCAUUACCUCAACCGCAAGGAGGGGGAUGCCUAAGGCAGGGCUAGUGACUGGGGUGAAGUCGUAACAAGGUAGCCGUACCGGAAGGUGUGGCUGGAUCACCUCCUUAAAGGGAGACCUAAUUCGGGUAGGAGACGAAAAAAAAGUAGUCGCUACCAAGAAUCAAUCCCAAAAGGUCGGAGCGAGGCAAGAUUGGCUUUCAAACUAGGUUCUGGGUUCACACAAGACCUGAAUCAGGAACAAGGGCUAUUAGCUCAGGUGGUUAGAGCGCACCCCUGAUAAGGGUGAGGUCCCUGGUUCGAGUCCAGGAUGGCCCACCUGCACAGGUGGAAGAAAGAAAAAAAGCUCCGAAUCAGCACCUUAUCUUACUUAUAUAGUAAGAGAGAAUGCUGGCUCUGAGUUCAGAGUCCAGAGGAACCUUGAAAACUGCAUAGAGCUAGGUGAAAAAGCCAAAAAAGAAGACCGCCAG
RNAcentral lists this unclassified non-coding RNA (469 nucleotides) under Microcystis aeruginosa Mb13. RNAcentral's name for it is "partial contains 16S ribosomal RNA, 16S-23S ribosomal RNA intergenic spacer, and 23S ribosomal RNA". The stretch from base 1 to 109 matches the Rfam family "Bacterial small subunit ribosomal RNA", at positions 1425 to 1533 of the family's 1533-position model. Lineage: Bacteria; Bacillati; Cyanobacteriota; Cyanophyceae; Chroococcales; Microcystaceae. The record is from RNAcentral.